AUGAGAAAUUAACGAUUUAAGUCCUUCUUAAAUGAGGCCAUUUACCCAAAGAGGGUGCCAGGCCCGUAUAACGUUAAUGAUUACUAGAUGGCAUUUCCAAAGAGUCGUGUUGCUUGAUAGUGCAGCACUAAGUGGGUGGUAAACUCCAUCUAAAACUAAAUAUAACCAUGAGACCGAUAGUAAACAAGUACCGUGAGGGAAAGUUGAAAAGAACUCUGAAUAGAGAGUUAAAUAGUACGUGAAACUGCUUAGAGGUUAAGCCCGAUGAACCUGAAUAUCCGUUAUAGAAAAUUCAUCAUUAUGAUUAUUAAUAUUUAUAAUAUUAUUAAUAAUGGUGUGCAUUUUUUCUAUAAAGGACAUUGUAAUCUAUUAACAUAAAUUAAUAUUUAUCACAAGAUCAAGUUGCGUAAGUUUAUUCAAAUUAUUUUGCUUGCAAUUUAACAUAGAAUAAAUGCUCUUGAUUUGAUAAAGUGUUGAUAGAUUUAUUAUAUAUAGUGCUUAAAUAUUUAUAUUUUAUAAUAGCAUAUUAAUCAUUGAUUUUUAUGUUUAUUAUAUGCACUUAUAUGAUUAACAAUGCGAAAGAUUCAGGAUACCUUCGGGACCCGUCUUGAAACACGGACCAAGGAGUCUAACAUAUUUGCAAGUUAUUGGGAAUAAAAACCUAAUAGCGAAAUUAACAUAACUUAUAUGAUGGGAUUAGUUUUUAGCCUAUUUAUAGUCUAUUAAUUCAAUCCCGGGGCGUUCUAUACAGUUAUGUAUAAUAAUAUUUAUAUUAUUUAUACCUCUAACUAGAGCGUACCUUGAGCAUAUAUGCUGUGACCCGAAAGAUGGUGAACUAUACUUGAUCAGGUUGA
RNAcentral lists this ribosomal RNA (854 nucleotides) under Protocalliphora azurea. RNAcentral describes it as "eukaryotic LSU rRNA". It matches the Rfam family "Eukaryotic large subunit ribosomal RNA", at positions 164 to 849 of the family's 3401-position model. Lineage: Eukaryota; Metazoa; Arthropoda; Insecta; Diptera; Calliphoridae. The record is from RNAcentral.